AUUGAACGCUGGCGGCAGGCCUAACACAUGCAAGUCGAACGAGUGGCAGACGGGUGAGUAAUGUCUGGGAAACUGCCUGAUGGAGGGGGAUAACUACUGGAAAGGGUAGCUAAUACCGCAUACCAUCGGAUGUGCCCAGAUGGGAUUAGCGAGUAGGUGGGGUAAAGGCUCACCUAGGCGACGAUCCCGAGCUGGUCUGAGAGGAUGACCAGCCACACUGUAACUGAGACACGGUCCAGACUCCUACGGGAGGCAGCAGUGGGGAAUAUUGCACAAUGGGCGCAAGCCUGAUACAGCCAGGCCGCGUGUAUGAAGAAGGCCGUCGGGUUGUAAAGUACUUUCAGCGGGGAGGCGUUACCCGCAGAAGAAGCACCGGCUAACUCCGUGCCAGCCGCCGCGGUAAUAC
RNAcentral lists this ribosomal RNA (406 nucleotides) under uncultured bacterium. RNAcentral describes it as "partial 16S ribosomal RNA". It matches the Rfam family "Bacterial small subunit ribosomal RNA", at positions 30 to 526 of the family's 1533-position model. The record is from RNAcentral.